This 485-nucleotide ribosomal RNA is filed under the name uncultured bacterium. RNAcentral's name for it is "partial 16S ribosomal RNA". It matches the Rfam family "Bacterial small subunit ribosomal RNA", at positions 28 to 523 of the family's 1533-position model. The record is from RNAcentral.
GACGAACGCUGGCGGCGUGCUUCAUACAUGCAAGUCGAGCGGGGUCCAUCCAGUGGCAACACUGGUGAAGACCUAGCGGCGAACGGGUGAGUAACACGUGAGGAACCUGCCCCAGAGACCGGGAUAACCCUCCGAAAGGAGAGCUAAUACCGGAUGCCCCCACCGGAUCGCAUGGUCUGGUGAGGAAAUGGAUUCCGCUCUGGGAGGGCCUCGCGGCCUAUCAGCUUGUUGGUGAGGUAACGGCUCACCAAGGCGUCGACGGGUAGCUGGUCUGAGAGGACGGUCAGCCACACUGGGACUGGGACACGGCCCAGACUCCUACGGGAGGCAGCAGUAGGGAAUCUUGCGCAAUGGGCGAAAGCCUGACGCAGCAACGCCGCGUGGGGGAUGAAGGCUCUCGGGUUGUAAACCCCUUUCAGCAGGGACGAUUGUGACGGUACCCGCAGAAGAAGGACCGGCCAACUACGUGCCAGCAGCCGCAGUAA